GACAACCCGCUCCCGUCCCUUACCACACUGUGGAAGCUUUGUUCUUUCACUCUUUGCAAUAAAUCUUGCUAAUGCUUACUCUUUAGGUCCACGCUGCUUUUAUGAGCUGUAACACUUAACCGCCAAAAUCUGCAGCUUCACGCCUGAGCCCAGUGAGACUACGAGCCCACUGGGAGGAAUGAACAACUCCCCACGCGCUGCCGUAAGAGCUGUAACACUCACCGGGAAGGUCUGCAGCUUCACUCUUGAGCAAGUGAGACCACGAACCCACCAGAAGAAAAAAACUCCAAACACAUCUGAACAUCAGAAGGGACAGACUCCAGACGCGCCACCUUAAGAGCUGUAACACUCACCGCGAGGGUCCGCGGCUUCCUUCUUGAAGUCAGUGAGACCAAAAACCCACCAAUUCCAGACACGGUGAUGGUUGCACAGCCUUGUGAAUAUACUAAAAAGCACUGAAAUAUACACUUUAAAGUGGUGAGUUGCUGGGCGCAGUGGCUCAUGGCUGUAAUCCAAGCACGGUGGGAGGCCGAGGUGGGCAGAUCACCUGAGCUCAGGAGUUCAAGACCAGCCUGGCCAACUUGAUGAAACCCCAUCUCUACUAAAAAUACAAAAUUAGCCGGGCUUGGUGGUGCAUGCCUGUAAUCCCAGCUGCGCAGGAGGCUGAGGCAGGAAAAUCGCUUGAACCUGGGAAGUGGAAGUUGCAGUGAGCCGAGAUCACACCAUUACACCCCAGCCUGCCCAACGAAAGCUAAACUUCGUUUAAAAAAAAAAGUGAAUUGUAUGGUAUGUGAAUUAUAGCUCAGUAAAGCUGUUGCCAUAAAGUGC
RNAcentral lists this long non-coding RNA (828 nucleotides) under Homo sapiens (human). Its description in RNAcentral is "HSALNT0408570". Lineage: Eukaryota; Metazoa; Chordata; Mammalia; Primates; Hominidae. The record is from RNAcentral.